Molecule: long non-coding RNA, 1782 nt
Filed under: Elaeis guineensis (African oil palm)
Lineage: Eukaryota; Viridiplantae; Streptophyta; Magnoliopsida; Arecales; Arecaceae
Description: long non-coding RNA (EGUI_LNC017695)
Source: RNAcentral
CUUACAAGGGGUACAAGGGCUUCUCCUUCGCCAACAUACCGCCGGUUUGAGGGGUUUUCUUUGCUUGGGAGCUGCCUUCAGGUGUUGUUGUCAUGGCUUGUCGUGUGUACAGAUCUCGUCAUGUAGCCUGCCCUCUUCCUUUCCUUUUCUUGUUGUACUUAUGUUUGAAUAAUCUGUUGUGCGAAUCUAGUUGAAUACGCGAGAAUGAGAUUUCCUGUCAGUUUGUUUCUUUCUCUCUUUCUGAUUUCAUGAUUUGGUGACUCUGGUGGGAUCUUCGAAACAAAGUAAAAUUAGAAAAAAAAUAAUUCAAGAUAUUAAAACUGUUCUUUAUAGCUGCAGACAGGGAAAUCAAGAGAAGUUAUCAAAAAAAAUUAUUUUUUAUAGUGAAAAUCUUUGAACUUGUAGUGGUUACUGUUAAUUCGGUCUCUCAUUUCUUUAAUAUCACGUUGCUUUUAGAGUCUGAUUGUCUAAUAAGUAAAGUUUUAAUUUCCAUAAAUUUAAGAAGUAUACAAUUUUAAAGCAACAAGUCAACAAGGGGUAGGUAUAUAGGAGAAGUCAAGAAGUAUAAAAUUAAGACAUGAGAACCUCACUAAAAUAAGUUUUAAAGCAAGGAGUUUCAAAGGGAUUGAGGACACAAAAUGGAUGGUGGAAUUCCCAUGUAAUGAUAAUGGACCAUAUCCAAGAUGAAUUAGUUAAUAGAAGAGGUUGUUUGGAGUCUUGUAAGUAGAGCCACAUGCAGUUCAACCUUGCUUGUUUGGAUACUUACAACAUAAAUUGCAUAGUAAGUUGAGUCGCUUGUUGGGCUACAACAUAGGGCUAUCUUGUGGUAGGUCGAUUUGCAGUUAUAGUUGCAGUGUUACAAGUUGUAGAAGCUCGAGUUGGUAUCUUAAUCAAAGACAAAAGAUUUUCUCUCCUACUCCUUCCCUUCCCAUCUCCUCCCUUGUCUCGCUUCAAGUCUCUGCAUGCUGUGAUUCUUGAUGUCACUGAUGGCACCUCAAAACCUCCAAGAGGCCACAGCCACGUCCUCCUCUUUGAGCUAGACUACAACAGGCCUCUCCUCCUCCCCUUCCCCUCUACUUCCCUUCCUUGCUCUCAAGUCCCUCCUUACUGCUGCCCUUGAUGCUGCCACCAGCCUCUGUUACCUUUAGGAGGCCCAAGGCUAUGUCCUUCACCAUGGACUUUACUGCAUCCCCCUUCUUCUUUACUCUACCUCCUCUGUUGCUACUAACCCCUUCCUCCUCUCUUCUUCACCUUAUCUGGGCUUCUCAAGGUCUGCAUUGCUGCCAACUUCCCUAUUUAUGGGCACCCAAGUCCAUGCUUAGGCCCUUGUCAACAGCGGCUUUGACAUUGAUGUCUUCAUCCAAAACACUCUCAUUCCCAUACAUGUCAAAUUGCACUGACUUGACAUUUAGUCGGACGAUGUUCGAUGGAAUAUUUGUCAAAAUGCCUCUCUUUUCCUUAAGCUCUCCUCUAAACACAAGAAGUGAAUUUUCUUGUAAGCCAACUCCUACAACUAAAGUUGUAAUAUGACUUGAGUUGGAAUGCAACUUCAACUAUAGAGCUCCAAAUAGCCCUAAAAUGAAUUAAGGCUUGAAAGGACCUAGAAGAGAAGGAUAAUAAAGCUCUUUAUUUCAGGUAGAAAUAAAUACAAGUGCAUUUUGUGUUGACAUAUGAAUAACAGAUAUUGUAUGAUGAAUGUAAGUGGCAACUUGAAGAAUGAAGACCAAGCUUUUUUGAAUAUGGAGAUGGCAAGAAGGAAUUUAUAGUUUGCUAAGAAGAAGC